This 258-nucleotide ribosomal RNA is filed under the name Triticum aestivum (bread wheat). Its description in RNAcentral is "partial small subunit ribosomal RNA". The record is from RNAcentral. Lineage: Eukaryota; Viridiplantae; Streptophyta; Magnoliopsida; Poales; Poaceae.
AGCACAUGAAAUAUAUGUGGCAGAGAGACGGAGGAUGCCCAACACGCUGUUCUGAAAUGUACCAAAGCUACAGCUCUCCGGGAGGAAAUGAGAGAGCACUGGACCUUACCAAGUGAAACUCUGCUUGUUACUCGGGACCCGGACUGGCUACUUCAUGCUCUCAGUCUUUGUUCUGGAGACAUGCGAGAAAAGCUGCUCUUGGUUUUAUGGCGUUCCUGGCAUCUUAGGGACGACAUUGUGCAUGACAAAGGAAAAGCA